This 338-nucleotide unclassified non-coding RNA is filed under the name soil metagenome. Its description in RNAcentral is "partial contains 5.8S ribosomal RNA, internal transcribed spacer 2, and large subunit ribosomal RNA". The stretch from base 1 to 121 matches the Rfam family "5.8S ribosomal RNA", at positions 35 to 154 of the family's 154-position model. The record is from RNAcentral.
GAUGAAGAACGUAGCGAAAUGCGAUAAGUAAUGCGAAUUGCAGAAUUUCCGUGAGUCAUCGAAUCUUUGAACGCACAUUGCGCCCACUGGUAUUCUGGCGGGCAUGCCUGUUCGAGCGUCAUUUCAACCAUCAAGCCCCCCGGCUUGCGUUGGGGCCCUGCGGCUGCCGCAGGCCCCUAAAAGCAGUGGCGGGCUCGCUGUCACACCGAGCGCAGUAGCGAUAUUCGCUCCGGGCGUCGGCGGCGGGCACCGGCCGUGAAACUCCCCCCAUUUCUCAAGGUUGACCUCGGAUCAGGUAGGAAUACCCGCUGAACUUAAGCAUAUCAAUAAGCGGAGGA